RNAcentral lists this small RNA (126 nucleotides) under Marmota monax (woodchuck). Lineage: Eukaryota; Metazoa; Chordata; Mammalia; Rodentia; Sciuridae. The record is from RNAcentral.
GCUGGGUGGGGUGGUGCACACCUGUAAUCCCAACAGCUCCAGAGGCUGAGGCAGGAGGAUUGAGAGUUCAAAACCAGUCUCAGCAGAGGUGUGGUGCUAAAGCAACUCAGUGAGACCCUGUCUCUA